Molecule: long non-coding RNA, 217 nt
Filed under: Prunus persica (peach)
Lineage: Eukaryota; Viridiplantae; Streptophyta; Magnoliopsida; Rosales; Rosaceae
Description: long non-coding RNA (PPER_LNC006520)
Source: RNAcentral
GGUAACAGAAAAUCGUCGUGGAUAAGUAACAUAAACACCUAAAAAAUAGAGAUCCCGCUUGGGUAUUUUUAAAACACAACUCAUCGAACUAAAAAAACGUCAUCUUAUUAAAAAGGUUUUCUAAAAUAAUGACAGCAGGUAUGAAGCCACUGACGUAGAAAGUUAAGACGACGGUUUACCAAAACAGCCGCCAUGUUAACUCCUAAAUAAACACGAC